Molecule: ribosomal RNA, 507 nt
Filed under: Triticum aestivum (bread wheat)
Lineage: Eukaryota; Viridiplantae; Streptophyta; Magnoliopsida; Poales; Poaceae
Description: partial small subunit ribosomal RNA
Source: RNAcentral
AUGCCGAUUGCGGCCUCAUCGGCUCCGCAGGCGGCGACCAGAACUAGCAGGACCGCCACGUCCCUCCUCUGUUCCUUCUCGUCCUUCCCCUUUCCUUGUUCCCGAUCUGAAUCUCUCUCCCCCUCUUUUCUUCAGGUAACAGUAGUUGCUACUGCCCUCAUGGAGCUCCCACGCAGGUCCUCGAUGUCGUUCCGCGCUAGAUCCGGCCGGGGACCGUUGGAUCUCGCCGCCUCCGCCAUGAACCGUCCAUCCCUGGCCUCCUGUGCGUGUCGCCGCUUCCCUGCAUCGCCUGGAGCCGCCUGCGUCUCGCCUCCUCUGUGUGUUUCCUCUGCAUCGAGCGGCAGCUCGGGAACGAGCACCCCGCCCCGCGUUGACCGUGAUUCGUUAGCGCCAGGCCCAGCUGCACCAUGCCCCUGCGAGGCCGCUUCCUCAUCGGCCCACCUCUCCACCGAGUGGGUUUGGCCCAUGGUGGGCAGCCCAGCUCCUCCAGUUCUGGCCCGAUGUUAG